RNAcentral lists this ribosomal RNA (228 nucleotides) under Allolobophora strumicae. RNAcentral's name for it is "partial small subunit ribosomal RNA". The record is from RNAcentral. Lineage: Eukaryota; Metazoa; Annelida; Clitellata; Crassiclitellata; Lumbricidae.
AGCCAUACCUUUAAAAGUAGAAGUAUACAAAUAUGACUUAUACUCACAUACGUCAGGUCAAAGUGCAGCUAAUGAAAGGGUGAUGAUGGGUUACACCCUAAAUAAAGAUACAAAUUAAAGCACUAAAAGCUUUCUGAAGGUGGACUUGGGUGUAAUUUUAAUACAAUAUUAUAAUGAAAUUGAAUCUAAGACAUGCACACAUCGCCCCGUCACUCUCGCCCAAAGGCG